Molecule: long non-coding RNA, 276 nt
Organism: Ictidomys tridecemlineatus (thirteen-lined ground squirrel)
Lineage: Eukaryota; Metazoa; Chordata; Mammalia; Rodentia; Sciuridae
Source: RefSeq, a predicted model, not a curated record
CCACUUUAGGUAUCCAUCGCCCUGCCUCUGCUUCUAGGUGAUGUCAAGCUCAGCAUCGCAUCUCCUCAUCAGUUGUGUCACUACCUUGUUGGCAUUUGAGCAAGAAAGGGAAUCACUGAACUCUGACACUUAACACAAGUAAUGAAAGGAGAUUUUUUGACCCCAAAUCUCAGUUUGAAUCUUUGAAGAGCAAAUGAGCUAGAACCUGGAGUAGAAGAUGCCUUCUGCCUCUCAGUGCUCUCUCCCAGCCCAGAACCAGCAAAAUCUGCCUUUGCC